This 737-nucleotide small RNA is filed under the name Vigna angularis var. angularis. Its description in RNAcentral is "Non-protein coding transcript". The record is from RNAcentral. Lineage: Eukaryota; Viridiplantae; Streptophyta; Magnoliopsida; Fabales; Fabaceae.
CUUAUGAUACGAGGGAUCAGGCUAGUAGGUACAAAGUUAAACUCUUACAAGUGAUAUGGUCAAAUCCAUAGCCGACUAAGAGAAAUGAAAAAAAAGAAAAGCACUUGAUCUAUGGUGAGAUGAGCACAAUUACAGUAAAUGAAAAGAGAUCCUAAAUAUCUGAAAAAGUUGAAAAAGUGCUUUUAACAAAAUAUAAUGACCUGGUUACUUUUGAAUCCCAGCCGGAGAGUUCAGCAGCUUCGGUUAGAGCAUCCUUCCAUCCUUGCACUUUGUCCAUGUCUCCCUUAAACCGCAGUUCAUGUUCUUCGAAUGCUUCUUUGUAUCUCUCUUCCUUCUUCCUGACAGUUGAUGGAUCCACCUUGUAGAAAACGGGUAUCACAUCCCUUUCAUAUCUCUUCUUGCAAUCCAGUAUCUUAGUCAGUUCAUUCAAACACCACGUGGAAGAUGCAUAGUUUUCAGAGAAAACCAGGACAUAGAUCUUUGAUUCUUCAAUUGCAGUUUGCAGUGCAGGUGAAAUUUCUUCGCCCCUUUGUAGUCUGUAAUCAAUAUAUGUUUCAAUGUGCUUCCUCUGCAGCGCUGCAUAAAGGUGACUAAUGAAGUUUUCACGAGUGUCUUCCCCUCUGAAGUUGAGAAACACAUCGUACCUGGUGGGAGAAGCGGACGCAGCGAAUGAUGAAGAACUCUCUGCCAUCGAAAUCAAUUGUCUCUCCUUUCUCUGCAACUCUAAGGCUCAGGAU